Molecule: long non-coding RNA, 811 nt
Organism: Eriocheir sinensis (Chinese mitten crab)
Lineage: Eukaryota; Metazoa; Arthropoda; Malacostraca; Decapoda; Varunidae
Exons: 2
Source: RefSeq, a predicted model, not a curated record
UUUGCGGUAGUGCGGUACGUGGUGAGGUACUUUUUUGUGAUGCGGUACUACCGCACUACCGCACUAAGUACCGCACUUGCCCACCUCUGGAUAUUGAUAAUAAUGCGCAGGGCACCUGUGCAGGUGCAUAACACGCAUGUUUGUAUUUCCUCGUGUAGGGAGGGUACCUGCUGGCGAUGAUGAGUCCACCUCGUGAUCAGGCCGUGGGUGAGUUACUCGUGGGCGAAGAGGACAGCGUCCUCCUCUUCGCCUUUACCUCGGCGGCCGUUGUAAAGGCGUAUAGUACAAUCACCAUCAUCAGCCGGAUGGGCCGCGGCCGGCGGGGUUGGACAGUUUUUCAUUCUUCCCUCCCGCGUCCCGCCCACCACACGCUUCCACGAGCCGCCGACGAGGACCAGCAGAUUUCCUAUUUUCCAGUAUAUACUAUUGAUUCUUACGGCUGAAGAACCUUGUGAUGGCAUUAAUGCAGUCCUCGGAAACCCAGCGUUCCACAAGGCGAUCGCACUCUGCAUCGUUUACCUGAAAUAUUAUAAUAUUGGGAGAUCAUCCUCUGCAUAACCUAUAGUCAGACACAAAUAUGAAGUCUGUUUGGGUGAGGUCUGAGCCUCUCCACACCCCUGCUGCAUCACCCCCAGUACAUCACUCAUAUAUGUCAGCUGUGUACUAUUUGAAUUUGUGGAACUGAUAUUCUGUAUACAUUAAAUAAGGCUAUAUAGUGCAAGGAAUGUGUCACUUUUUAGAAUAUUAGUAAUUAAUUGUAUUAAUAAAUUGUAUAAAUUCUAUAACAAGUGACAAUGUUGCUCUCUGAUGU